This 31-nucleotide non-coding RNA is filed under the name Rattus norvegicus (Norway rat). Lineage: Eukaryota; Metazoa; Chordata; Mammalia; Rodentia; Muridae. The record is from RNAcentral.
UGAAAGAUCAUUCAUUUCCAGCUUACAUGUC